UGGGGUAUCGCCAAGCGGUAAGGCACCGGUUUUUGAUACCGGCAUUCCCUGGUUCGAAUCCUAGUACCCCAGCCA
Molecule: transfer RNA, 75 nt
Filed under: compost metagenome
Description: tRNA-Gln
Rfam family: tRNA
About the family: Transfer RNA (tRNA) molecules are approximately 80 nucleotides in length. Their secondary structure includes four short double-helical elements and three loops (D, anti-codon, and T loops). Further hydrogen bonds mediate the characteristic L-shaped molecular structure. tRNAs have two regions of fundamental functional importance: the anti-codon, which is responsible for specific mRNA codon recognition, and the 3' end, to which the tRNAs corresponding amino acid is attached (by aminoacyl-tRNA synthetases). tRNAs cope with the degeneracy of the genetic code in two manners: having more than one tRNA (with a specific anti-codon) for a particular amino acid; and 'wobble' base-pairing, i.e. permitting non-standard base-pairing at the 3rd anti-codon position.
Source: RNAcentral